AUCUUGUGGCGCCGGCUGGGAUGGCGGCGCUGCGCAGCAGCCGCGUUAGCGCCCGGGAGAGCCGGCAGCAGCCGGGCCGGGCUGCACCGGGGAAAGGGAAGGGAACACGUCUGGCCGCAAAGCGAGUGCUUCCGCACUACACCCAUGCAUUUUUAAGGCUCAAUACUGGAAAACAGGAGAUAUGGAAUGCGUUUUUAUGGGGGAGGGUGGAAGUGAUGCUAACAGCGCAGCUCCUGGACAGCACAGUAACAGAGCUGAGGCCCUUGUUCCCCAGGCACUCUGGCUUCACCUGGAGUCAAAAUUCGGCUUCUACCCGCCCCAGAAAGCAGGAAAAUGCCCCAAGAACAAGGUGGGAAAUAGCAACAAAAUGAGCUACUGAGGGCUGAGCUGCGCAGAAAUAAGUAACCUCCAGUAAUCCAGAGGGUUUCUCAGGCUGAGCAGCAGCAGUUUCAGCAGGUUCUCCACGCAGCCCGGGCGUCUCGGGUUCCCGGGGACGCGUCCUCCCUGCAGCGGGGCUGUUGGUAACGGUGACUGACCCAUAUAAACCUGUGCCAAAGCCCAAGAGCUUUCUCCAUGGCCCGUCAGACACCCGCUAAGCGUCACCUCCCUUAAAAUACCCGUGCAAGGGUCAGUCUGAAAAAAAAUCGAUCAAAAUUACUCUGCUCUACUAGUGGUGUUUCCGCAAUUAUCUGCAACUCUACUUCGAUAAAUGCAGCAGGAGGUGGCUUUCUCACCUGUAACAGACUCCUUCCCAGCAUUCGGUGACCCGCGUGCAGAGCAGCGUGCAGAGCCCCCGCCUCAAGGGCGGUGCCGGGAGGCAAAACACCGGGUUCCAAAAUGCAUGCAGAGGCAUCUGACUCGAACCGGCACGAGGGCCUGUGAGCUGAGAGCAGCAGGGAGGGCAGCGCUGGCACUACAUACACCUGGGACUGCGGGAGGGAACGGGCUCCUGCCGCUCCGCCCCGCAGCGACACAGGCUGGCGGCACCGACAGCCACCGCGCAGCUGUGGCCGAUGCACGCAGAGCUAAGCAAAGGCUGUUUUAAAAAGAAAACAGCUGUAAUAUUUUAGUACGUUAAUCUUAACUGCAUGUUGUAAGAAAACUUAAAAAUAAAGACCUUAAAAAUAAAUUAUCCGCCACCUUUAGAAAGGAAGGGGUGACUGGCAAACAGCGUACGGCUGCUUCGAAGCCCAGUGCUGUGCCUGGCUGAUGAACACAGCACGGUCCUGGUGACAGGUAAGGGACCAACGUCCCCAUGAGCAAGCGGGGAGCCGGGUACAAAUCAGAGUGCAGGGCGGCUGCCCCUUGUGCCUUCUCUGGGAAAGCCGGGGAGCAGGUUGAAGACCGGAUCACUGCUUUAUAUUUAAUUGACUUCGCACCCACACGAGACUUCGCCACGUACAAAGCAGUAACUUAUGUGUGUAAAAGCGCGAGGGUGAGUCACUGCAUUCAUCUGGAGGUGCUGUUUAAAUAGAGCCUGUGCCAGGAGCUGCCGCUUGGCAUGUCAGAGGAACUGCUGCCGUGUUUGAGGUUACACUUCGAUUCUUACACAGAAGGGAUCGCCCACCUCCCCUUUUUGUAACGUGGUGCUGCUGCAUCCUCACACCGGGCAAGACAAGUUCUCAGGACUUCCACAGAACACACCAGCUUGUGUCCGUGUUCACUUCCCCGGGGCUCGGCCUCCUACACUGGAAAACCACUCAGCACCGUGUCAGAAUUGUCCCUCGUCCCUCUUAUCCACACGUGAUGCUGCUUCAGCUUUCACAGAAACACCGUAAAACCCAAGAAAUAACUGUCAGCAGAACAUACCUACCAGUGUUUUAACAAGUGACAUUUUAAUUUGCUCAGAAACAAAAGAGGAUUGAGGGAAGAGAAAGGAAAGUUACGCGUAAGCUGCUAAAUCACGGGUGUUAAACAUGCAGAAGUUGGUAUGAAGAGCUCAGCAGACACACUGGUUAACAUGCCGGACGUCUCUAACAAAUCACUGCUGCCUAGCUUUGUUUAUUGGUCAAUCACUUCAGUAAUCCGAAUUCACAAAUAAGCAGUAAAUAACAAAAACUACAGAUAAACACGGGCUACACAUGCAAAU
Molecule: long non-coding RNA, 2089 nt
Organism: Columba livia (rock pigeon)
Lineage: Eukaryota; Metazoa; Chordata; Aves; Columbiformes; Columbidae
Exons: 2
Source: RefSeq, a predicted model, not a curated record